GACGAACGCUGGCGGCGUGCUUAACACAUGCAAGUCGAACGGAAAGGCCCUGCUUUUGUGGGGUGCUCGAGUGGCGAACGGGUGAGUAACACGUGAGUAACCUGCCCUUGACUUUGGGAUAACUUCAGGAAACUGGGGCUAAUACCGGAUAGGAGCUCCUGCUGCAUGGUGGGGGUUGGAAAGUUUCGGCGGUUGGGGAUGGACUCGCGGCUUAUCAGCUUGUUGGUGGGGUAGUGGCUUACCAAGGCUUUGACGGGUAGCCGGCCUGAGAGGGUGACCGGCCACAUUGGGACUGCGAUACGGCCCAGACUCCUACGGGAGGCAGCAGUGGGGAAUAUUGCACAAUGGGCGGAAGCCUGAUGCAGCAACGCCGCGUGCGGGAUGACGGCCUCCGGGUUGUAAACCGCUUUCGCCUGUGACGAAGCGUGAGUGACGGUAAUGGGUAAAGAAGCACCGGCUAACUACGUG
Molecule: ribosomal RNA, 468 nt
Filed under: uncultured bacterium
Lineage: Bacteria
Description: partial 16S ribosomal RNA
Rfam family: Bacterial small subunit ribosomal RNA
Source: RNAcentral